GUUGACAGUGACACUGACACUGACGCCACUGACAUUUUUUUUUUUUUUUUUUUUAACAUUUAUGGCCUGGAUGCGAGUCCUUUAAGCCAAGUCUUUAUUUUGCUAUUUUUAAAACACUUCAUUUAAGUGGUUAAAUGGCAGAGAAUGCACUAGUAAUUUUGUUAAUACACUUCACUUUAAAUCUUCAAUGCUGUAUUUUUGAUGUACUCGUAUAACGGAACGUAACUGUCAACGUUUUUAAGAAUAUCGGUGAGGCGGCGGGGGACAUUAUUAUCAAACCCUUCACUUAAUUCACUUGCAAGGAUGAGUCUUUGAAACGCAAACACUUGGCAUUUAAAUAUAAGGUGUUCAACAUCUGCAACGCUACCAUUGUGGCAGUGAGGACAUGUACCAUCGGCUAUAAUCGAAAAUCUAGCUAAGUGCGCUGGUGCACAGUUGUGACCAAACCUCAAUCUAUUGAUGGUGGUAAUAAAACUACGACUUCCCAUCUUUAUCUUCUCAUACCAAGGCUUUCCAGGGCUUCAAAUACAGCAUAUGCUUCAGCCGUAAAUAUGGAACAUAAAUCAUGCAAUCUAAAGCUCUGUACAAAUUUAGUCUGAGGAUCAUACACUGCACUUCGGACGUGAGACUCUGCUUUACUACCAUCUGUAUAUAAUUUGUAAUAAUUGGGAAUUUGUGACAAGAAAUGUAGAAAAUCAGUAUUAUUAUUGAUAGAUUUUGUGCAUACUGUAAUGUUUAAAAGUUUACUAUUAAAGCUAUCUUCAUAACAUGGCCAAA
Molecule: long non-coding RNA, 777 nt
Organism: Cydia strobilella
Lineage: Eukaryota; Metazoa; Arthropoda; Insecta; Lepidoptera; Tortricidae
Exons: 2
Source: RefSeq, a predicted model, not a curated record